AUGGCAGGCGUGGCGCCCUCCGCCUCCGCGCGCCAGAUAUCCCACACGCACUUCAUCGAGCAGCUCCGCCGCGCCGCCCGCGCCCGCGACGGCGAGGCGCUCCACGCCUGGGCGCUCAAGUCCGGCGCCGCCUCGCACGCGCCCGUCUCCAACUCCCUCAUCACCUUCUACGCUUCCCUCCCGCGGCCGCUCCUCGCCGCGGCGCUGGCCGUCUUUGCGGGCAUCCCCGCCGCCGCCCGCGACGUCGCCUCCUGGAACUCCCUGCUCAACCCGCUCUCGCACCACCACCCGCGCGCCGCGCUCUCUCACUUCCGCUCCAUGAUGUUCUCGUCCUCGCCCGCCAUCCUCCCGUCCCCGCACUCCUUUGCGGCCGUCUUCACAGCCGCUGCCCGCGCGCGCUCCGCGUCCGCCGGAGCCGCCGCCCACGCCCUCGCUUGCAAGGUCCCCUCGGCUAGCUCCAACGUGUUCGUGUUCACCUCUCUGCUCAACAUGUACUGCAAGCUGGACCUCGUCCCUGAUGCCCGGAGGGUGUUCGACGAAAUGCCGGUGCGGAACGAGUUCUCUUGGGCCGCCAUGGUGGCGGGCUAUGCUUCCACAAAGUGCUCGGAGGAGGCCUUUGAGAUCUUCCAGUUGAUGCUUGCAGAGUGCCCGUCGCAGAAAAAUGAGUUUGCGGCCACGGCUGUUCUUAGUGCGGUCAGUGUGCCCUCGGGCUUGCCAAUGGGGGUGCAGCUGCAUGGGUUGGCUGUGAAGGAUGGGUUGGUGGUGUUUGUGUCGGUUGAAAACUCGCUUGUCACGAUGUAUGCAAAGGCUGGGUGUAUGGAUGCAGCAUUCCAUGUGUUUGCGUCGUCUAAGGAGAGGAACUCCAUCACUUGGUCUGCGAUGAUCACUGGCUACGCGCAGAAUGGGAAUGCAGAAAGCGCAUUUAGAAUGUUCUUACAGAUGCUUGCUGCAGGGUUUUCACCAACUGAGUUCACUUUGGUUGGGGUGCUCAAUGCUUGUAGUGAUGUGGGAGCAUUGAUGGAAGGAAAGCAGACACAUGGUUUGAUGGUGAAGCUUGGGCUUGAAGCGCAGGUGUAUGUGAAGAGCGCACUGGUGGACAUGUAUGCCAAAUGCGGCUGUAUUACUGAUGCAAAGGAAGGUUUUCAUCAAUUUCAUGAGCUUGACAUUGUCCUUUGGACGGCUAUGGUUGCCGGGCAUGUGCAGAAUGGGGAGCAUGAGGAAGCCUUGAGGUUGUAUGCCAGGAUGGACAAGGAGGGCAUCACUCCGACUAACUUGACUAUAACCAGUGUUCUUAGAGCAUGUGCUGGCCUCGCAGCAUUGGAGCCAGGGAAGCAAUUGCACACGCAAAUACUCAAGUUCGGGUUUGGUUUGGGGUCUUCUGUCGGAAGUGCCUUGUCUACAAUGUAUUCAAAGUGUGGAAACCUUGACGAUGGCAUGGUUGUAUUCAGAAGGAUGCCUCAUAAGGAUGUUAUUGCAUGGAACUCGAUCAUUUCUGGAUUUUCUCAGAAUGGACGUGGAAAUGAAGCACUUGACCUGUUUGAGGAGAUGAAGCUAGAGGGCACUGCUCCAGAUCAUAUAACAUUCAUUAAUGUAUUAUGUGCUUGUAGUCACAUGGGCCUAGUUGACAGAGGAUGGAUUUACUUUAGGUCAAUGACCACAGACUAUGGUUUAACUCCUAGGCUGGAUCAUUAUGCUUGCAUGGUUGAUAUUCUUAGCCGAGCAGGGAUGCUAAAUGAAGCAAAAGAUUUCAUAGAGUCCAUUAGUAUUGACCAUGGAACAUGUUUGUGGCGUAUAUUAUUGGGAGCAUGUCGCAGUAUACGGGAUUUUGAUGUCGGAGCAUAUGCAGGUGAGCAGCUGAUGGAGUUAGGUACUGGGGACUCCUCUGCAUAUAUAUUGUUGUCAAACAUCUAUGCUGCCCAGAGAAAAUGGACUGAUGUUGAGCGGGUGAGGCAUUUGAUGAGAUCUAGAGGAGUUAGCAAAGAUCCAGGAUGCAGCUGGGUUGAGCUUAACAGCAAAAUCCAUGUGUUUGUUGUUGGGGAGCAGCAACAUCCUGAGGCGGAAAAUAUAAAUACAGAGUUGAGAAGGCUCGCUAAACACAUGAAGGACGAAGGGUACUGUCCAAGAUUUAAAUUUGCAUGGGUUGAAGAACUGGAUAAUUUGAGAGAAUCUCAUGAAGAAGAUCAAUUCGAGUUGAUAUCGGUAGUUUCUAGCUGA
RNAcentral lists this ribosomal RNA (2214 nucleotides) under Triticum aestivum (bread wheat). RNAcentral describes it as "partial small subunit ribosomal RNA". The record is from RNAcentral. Lineage: Eukaryota; Viridiplantae; Streptophyta; Magnoliopsida; Poales; Poaceae.